UGCUUGGGAUAGGAGAGCCAGAACGC
RNAcentral lists this non-coding RNA (26 nucleotides) under Rattus norvegicus (Norway rat). The record is from RNAcentral. Lineage: Eukaryota; Metazoa; Chordata; Mammalia; Rodentia; Muridae.